UUUCGAGAAUUAUCCUGAAUUCAGGAAAAUUCGUGAUUUUGACAACAUUUUGGAUUUCGUUAAAAUUACACUUAAUCGACCCCAAAUUUCACGGAGAUCACAAAUAUUUGGUUUAUUUUGUCGACAGCUCAAUUGUUGAGGCGGUAUCGCUUACUUCCGGUAUACUUCCGGAAAAUUUGCAUAAAACUAGCAAGUGAGCUUUGUUCUCUGUACUAUUCUCAAGAUUUCAAGCUAGAUUUAGGCAAAUAAAAGUGCACCGUUCAAGUUAUACGGAAUUAUGUACGUCUUUGGAGGUCUACUGUCGUUGGAGUUCUACGGUCGCCACUCGCCAUACCGAUCACACUAGUGGCGGUGAAAAAAUUUUUGGUACUCUUAUUUAUGAAUAUUUUUAAUGCAAAGCAGUAAUGUUAUUUAAAAUCUACAAUAUCACUAGAAUUAAAAAAUUCAAUGUUGUUUCU
Long non-coding RNA from Daphnia pulicaria, 458 nucleotides. RefSeq lists it as uncharacterized. The record is from RefSeq and is a predicted model, not a curated record. The transcript is spliced from 2 exons. NCBI's taxonomy places the organism in Eukaryota, Metazoa, Arthropoda, Branchiopoda, Diplostraca, Daphniidae.